RNAcentral lists this ribosomal RNA (453 nucleotides) under uncultured Prevotellaceae bacterium. RNAcentral describes it as "bacterial SSU rRNA". It matches the Rfam family "Bacterial small subunit ribosomal RNA", at positions 341 to 792 of the family's 1533-position model. Lineage: Bacteria; Pseudomonadati; Bacteroidota; Bacteroidia; Bacteroidales; Prevotellaceae. The record is from RNAcentral.
ACGGAAGGCAGCAGUGAGGAAUAUUGGUCAAUGGACGGAAGUCUGAACCAGCCAAAUAGCGUGAAGGAUGACGGUAUUAUGUAUUGUAAACUUCUUUUAUGCGGGAAUAAAAAAGUCCACGUGUGGGCUCUUGCAUGUACCGCAUGAAUAAGGAUCGGCUAAUUCCGUGCCAGCAGCCGCGGUAAUACGGAAGAUCCGAGCGUUAUCCGGAUUUAUUGGGUUUAAAGGGAGCGUAGGCGGGCCUUUAAGUCAGUGGUCAAAGCGUGUGGCUCAACCAUACCACGCCGUUGAUACUGGAGGCCUUGAGUGCACAUAAGGAUGGUGGAAUUCAUGGUGUAGCGGUGAAAUGCUUAGAUAUCAUGAAGAACUCCGAUUGCGAAGGCAGCUGUCCGGGGUGUAACUGACGCUAAUGCUCGAAAGUGCGGGUAUCAAACAGGAUUAGAUACCCUGGUA